Molecule: non-coding RNA, 24 nt
Filed under: Rattus norvegicus (Norway rat)
Lineage: Eukaryota; Metazoa; Chordata; Mammalia; Rodentia; Muridae
Source: RNAcentral
UUCCAUGGUGUUUACUCUCAGUGC